GAAGGGAGGUUCAGUGAUCUAAGCAGUCAGUGGGUGCGAGGUGUGGUCAGCUGCGAGGGGGUGAAAAGUGACAGCUGGUGAGUCGGCGAGCUGGCCAAUAUGUUUAUGUAUUUUCUCCACCGAUGGUUCCUAGCGUAUCCAUAGCGAUGUUUGUGUUAUUGAAAAUUGUUGCGUGUGACUCAAUAGUGAAGAUGCCAUCAUUUUGUGCAGUGAAGUAUUGCGGGAAUACGAUUGCGAACACAAAAACCCGUGGAAUUGUGUUCCAUCGAUUUCCAAAAGAUGGAGAGCGACGCCAAUCGUGGGUCGCGUUCUGUGGCCAACAUGAUGGUUGGUCACCACAGCAGAACCAGGCCAUUUGUUCGAGCCACUUCACCAGCAGCAGCUACGACGAUGGGUUUCGUUAUCGGCAUGAAACUAUAGUAGCCAAAAUGCGACAUCAAUUGCUUCCAAAAGCCAUUCCCACGUUGAAGCAAACGAAUAACCCAAGUUGUAGAGAAGCAAACGGUAUCGUAGGUAAGUAUAAAUCA
Molecule: long non-coding RNA, 527 nt
Organism: Aedes aegypti (yellow fever mosquito)
Lineage: Eukaryota; Metazoa; Arthropoda; Insecta; Diptera; Culicidae
Exons: 3
Source: RefSeq, a predicted model, not a curated record